This 638-nucleotide ribosomal RNA is filed under the name Inocybe sp. LM4912. RNAcentral's name for it is "eukaryotic LSU rRNA". The stretch from base 247 to 400 matches the Rfam family "5.8S ribosomal RNA". The record is from RNAcentral. Lineage: Eukaryota; Fungi; Basidiomycota; Agaricomycetes; Agaricales; Inocybaceae.
CAUUAUUGAAAUAAACUUGAACGGGCUGUUGCUGGCUCUUCGGAGUAUGUGCACGCUCGUCAUCUUUAUCAUUUCUCCAACUGUGCACAUAUUGUAGACCUUUUUGUUUUUUUGAAUCUAAACAAGAUUCAAAAGUUGAGGGACUGCUGCGCUGAAAACAAAAGUCGGCUUUCCCUUGUAUUUUUCAGGUCUAUGUCAUUUUUCACAAACGUGUUUAGAAUGUUGAAUAAUAAAAGUUUAUAAUACAACUUUCAGCAACGGAUCUCUUGGCUCUCGCAUCGAUGAAGAACGCAGCGAAAUGCGAUAAGUAAUGUGAAUUGCAGAAUUCAGUGAAUCAUCGAAUCUUUGAACGCAUCUUGCGCUCCUUGGUAUUCCGAGGAGCAUGCCUGUUUGAGUGUCAUUUGAACUUAUCUCAACCAUGUCAUCUUUUCGAUGUGGCUUGGAUGUGGGGGUAAUUUUUUGCAGGCUUUAAAUUUUGAAGCCAGCUCCCCUGAAAUGCAUUAGUGGUAUCUGAGCUGCUAUUGGUGUGAUAAUUUAUCUAUGCCUUUGGUAACAGGAGUGCUGCUUAUAACAACAACAAUUGACAAAUUUGACCUCAAAUCAGGUAGGACUACCCGCUGAACUUAAGCAUAUCAAUA